CCAAUAGCGUAUAUUAAAGUUGUUGCAGUUAAAAAGCUCGUAGUUGAAUUUCGGGAUCAAAGAAUCGGUCAUGCCUUGGUAUGUACUGGUUUUAUUGGUUCUCACCUUCUAAAGAACCAUGAUGUCAUUCAUUUGAUGUUAUGGGGAAUUAGGACUGUUACCUUGAAAAAAUUAGAGUGUUUAAAGCAAGCUUACGCUUGAAUACAUUAGCAUGGAAUAAUGAAAUAGGACAUCAGAUUCUAUUUUGUUGGUUUCUAGGAUCGAUGUAAUGAUUAAUAGGGAUAGUUGGGGGCAUUAGUAUUCAAUUGUCAGAGGUGAAAUUCUUGGAUUUAUUGAAGACUAACUACUGCGAAAGCAUUUGCCAAGGAUGUUUUCAUUAAUCAAGAACGAAAGUUAGGGGAUCGAAGACGAUCAGAUACCGUCGUAGUCUUAACCAUAAACUAUGCCGACUAGGGAUCGGAUGAUGUUAAUUUUUUAAUGACUCAUUCGGCACCUUACG
This 499-nucleotide non-coding RNA is filed under the name uncultured Glomus. RNAcentral's name for it is "SSU rRNA". It matches the Rfam family "Eukaryotic small subunit ribosomal RNA", at positions 591 to 1092 of the family's 1831-position model. Lineage: Eukaryota; Fungi; Glomeromycota; Glomeromycetes; Glomerales; Glomeraceae. RNAcentral also lists the same sequence under 1 other name. The record is from RNAcentral.